RNAcentral lists this ribosomal RNA (239 nucleotides) under uncultured bacterium. RNAcentral's name for it is "partial 16S ribosomal RNA". It matches the Rfam family "Bacterial small subunit ribosomal RNA", at positions 333 to 564 of the family's 1533-position model. The record is from RNAcentral.
UUUGGCCUACGGGACGCAGCAGUAGGGAAUCUUCCACAAUGGACGAAAGUCUGAUGGAGCAACGCCGCGUGAGUGAAGAAGGAUUUCGGCUCGUAAAGCUCUGUUGGUAGUGAAGAAAGAUAGAGGUAGUAACUGGCCUUUAUUUGACGGUAAUUACUUAGAAAGUCACGGCUAACUACGUGCCAGCAGCCGCGGUAAUACGUAGGUGGCAAGCGUUGUCCGGAUUUAUUGGGCGUAAA